RNAcentral lists this long non-coding RNA (36096 nucleotides) under Theobroma cacao (cacao). RNAcentral describes it as "long non-coding RNA (TCAC_LNC004316)". The record is from RNAcentral. Lineage: Eukaryota; Viridiplantae; Streptophyta; Magnoliopsida; Malvales; Malvaceae.
CUUGGAGAUUUGAAAGAAAAUGAAAACAAAAUUAUGAGGAAAAUGGCAAUAGCAGCCUUAUGGUGCAUACAGAUGAAGCCCACGGAUCGGCCUUCAAUGAACAAAGCCUUGAAGAUGCUUGAAAGUGAAGUUGAGAUCCUUGAAAUGCCUCCCAAGCCUUCUUUCUCUCUAAAUGUCAACUAAAGGUAGUAAAGAAUUCUCCCCGCACACGUGGCAAUCGGCCUUCCUCAGCUACCUCGUGAUCAUAUGUAUACAUGCACGUCAAUGUAGGGUCAUGUGUAUCUCUUAAAUUGCAGGAUGAAGAUGAAUUCUUCGGUUUACAUUGAUGCUUUCCAUUGCACCAAUCGAUGUUCCUCUCCAGGUUAUUUUGUUUCUUCAGUCAAAUUAUUGUCUGGUUAACAACUAAUGGAAAUGUAAGGACAGAAUAUUAACGUGAUAUGUUACAUAAUUUAUACUAUAAUAUUUUAUCAUUGUUAACGGCACAAUUUGAUAAAAAGAUAAAAAAGAAGUCAUUUUAUUAUAUUAUGUGUAAAAUACAUGAAAAAAAAAGAUUACAAAUUUUAUUUGAUUACAUUACUGCAGAACUUACAAAAAUAAUUAUAGAAGCAUGGCUAAUGAUUAUAGGUAUUAUUUGAAUAGAUAUUUUUCUCAUUUUUCUUGUUUGACUGGUUGCAACUUGUCUUCAAAUUUUGAUAUCCACCAAAAAACUAUCCAAGAGCUUGAUUGUUUUAGAUAGUCAUUCAACAGCUUGACUGACUUUAUAUUUGUCUGUGCAACAAAUUUGAAUUUUUUUUUUAAAAAAGUCAAUAUUGAAUUUUAGACAUGCAUAAAUAGCAUAAUUUUUUAUUAUGCAGUGAAAAUAUAUGUAUAAAGUAUGAGGAAAGAUCUACUUAUACCGGUAUAAAAUUAAAUUAGUUUUACACUUUUUCAUGUCUUUUUAUUUCAUUUAUAUUUUGUUAAUCUAACCGUUCAUUUUAUGUUAUAUUCAUAUAAAUAUUCAUAGAUAGCAAAUUUCAAGUUAAUUGGAAAUGACUAACUACAUAUUUGAGAAAAAUAAAAUUUCAAUCAUUAAAUAUAUAUUGAAAAAAGGCAUUAUUCUCGGUUGAUGUAAUAAGAAUGUUGAAUUAAUAUGAGACUUUACGUGUAUGAUAAAUGCGAAUAAGUUGUUAAAUGUAAUGAUUCUAUUUGUUAAAAUAUUAAUUCCCUAAGAAGUUAUAGAAAAAUGUAAAGUACUUAGUUUUAGAGAUACAAGGCGAUUCCUCUUGGCCGGUAUAAAGUAUUGCUAUUUAGGCUUUUGUGUGCAAUUUUUUUUCAUAGCUAAUUGUUGUUGAAAAUGUGCAAUCUUUACUACUGUAUGCAUGUAAUAUUUUUGUCCAAAAUAUUAGCAAAAAAAAUGUUUUGAACUGUGAACUCCGUAAAAGUUCUAUACAAAAGGAUUUUAAACAACACUAGUUAAAGAAAAUAAAUAAAUAAAUGCAAAUUUAAUUAUUAUAGUGUGUUUUUUCCACUUGUUCAAAGUAAGAUUUGAUUUCAAUUGCAGCCCUAGAUAUAAUCAGCAAAGCAAUGAAGAUAACAUUAUCCAAAGAUUUAAUGUUUCUCGUUAAACUUUUUUAUAUAUAAUUCUCCAAAGAAAAAUACAGUUUUAUACUUAAAAAAUAAAUGUAAAAUAUGAAAUUGAUCAAAUUUUUUCAGAAUUAUUAUUUUAUAUAUCUUGAAAUUUUGAAAUUCCAAAAUUUAUAAUAUUGUUUAAGUCAUAUUAUAUAUAUUAUUGAGGGUUUAUAGUAAUAUCCCUACUGUGUAGAUUUACUUGGAUGAAUUGCAAAGAUUUCUUUUCCAUCAGUUCCGCUACGUACCAAUUGGCUGGGUACACGGAUUUUCUUCUUUCUUGUUUGUUUGCGUGGAAAAUCAUCAAAGAGCUCUAUGACAGGCUUGUCGUUAAAAGUGUUUUGCUGGCUGGCUUUAAUUAGUUGACUGACUUUUCAAAAGAAGACUUGGUUUUAACAAUAAAUGUAAGCACUGCUUCGCUUGCCUGUAUCAAAACUAGAACCUUGAUCUCCCACUGAAACUUUGGGAUGCUUUACGUCAUACUUCCAUUACUUUGCCUUUUGGCUUUUGCUUCAUUUCUAUUCCCCGAUCCAGGCCGCGUUACAGAAAAAUACAAGCACUGUGGUUCUUCUUUAUGUGGAAACAUUAACAUCACUUACCCUUUGCGAUUAAAAACCCAGUCUCAUAGGUGUGGUUACAAGGAGCUUGAACUAGUGUGCCAGAAUAACCGUACUAUUUUCCCCAUGAAACAUGGGAAUUUCUAUGUCCAACACAUCUCUUAUAGUGACGAAACCAUUCAACUUUUAGACGAGAGUCUUGGCAACGAUAACUGCUCCAUUCCUCAUAGUUCCUAUCCUUGGUACACCCCUUUCUCGAAAAAAAUAUAUCUCUAUGGAACCACCUCUGAAUAUAGCAUCAUGUGUCUCGUCAAUUGCACGAUGCAAAUCAACUACUCUUCCGUUUAUAUCGAUGCUUUUCGUUGCACCAACAAUACCCCUUCCUCUCGACCUGCUUACUUUUACUUUUUGGAUGGAAAUACAACAGCGUCUGAUUUCGAUGAGUCAUGCAGAGUUGAAGCCCAGGUUCCAAUCAUGCUUGCCAACAUCACCGGCCGCUCUACUUUUGAUAUUUACACAAAGCUGUUAACGGGAUUCCAACUCUCAUGGUCAACUUCCUAUUAUGAUUAUGUUUGGCUGUCGUGGGACUCAAUCGUUAACGUGUGAGGAUUUUUAAGUAUUCCGCAAUAUUUGGUGUUGUUUAGUUUUUGAAAAAUAUUUGUUAUUACUAUUAUUUUUUGGAUCGUAAUAUUUAUUAUUUUUAGCAUAAAUAAAUAUGAUAAAUAAACAAAUAUCAAAAUAUUUAGUUUUGAAUUCUUUUAAAUUACUUUUUUAAUUAUGUGUAUAAAUUUGUAUCUAAAAUUUAAACUCGAUAUUUUAAUGUAAAAUUUAAAGAGAAGGAUUUAAAAAAUUUUCAACACUAAAAGUGCGCAUAUCAUUUGCCUUAUUAAGGAUUAAUGGUUUUGAUGUGCUUUUUUGAAUAUUAAUUAUAGAUUUCUAUCCUUGCUCGGCCUGUUGGUGCUUCCGCUGGAGAUACUUAUAGUAGGCAACAUAGCUUUUUUUGGACGAUAUCAUAUCAAUGGAUUUAGUAAAGGUAUUCUUUCGGUUCUGAGUUCAUUAAUAUUUUGAUUAUUAUUGGAUUUGCCUUUACUUUGAUAGUAUCUAUGUUCAUUUAUUUUCCGAAUUGGUAAUAUCUUUGCAGGAAUCCAGAUUCUUUGUGUUGCAAUAACAGGUACUAAAUUCUAUACUUAUUUAUUUACUCUUAAAUUCUACAAUUAUUAUAAUGUAUGACAUCAAUAAAUAUAUUAUUAUAUAAAUGAAUCAAAAAAUUAUUAAAUUAUUUAAAAAAUUCCUAAACUAUUUUAAAGAAAUUCAAAUAAGCUUUUCUUAAUUUUUAUUACAUUCAAUCAAGCUAUUAUAUUUUUAUUUUGAACCAAAUAAACCCUUCUAAAUAAUAGUUAACUAAUGUUAUUAGUUCAAAUGUCACUUAUUAUUUUAUACUUAUGUGACAUUGAUAUGAUGCUGACAAGGAGGAUGAAAAUACCACGUAACCAUGUCAUAAUGCCAUAUACUAUGACAUGUCAACAUAAUAUAUCAAUGUCUUGUGACUUAAAAUAACAAAUGGUAUUUUAAUUAAUAACAGUUAGUUAUCCAUUAGUUAUAAUAGCUUAUUUGAUUCAAAAUAAAUGUUUAAGAGCUUGAUCAUACACAAUAAAAGAAUAAGAGUUUAUUUAAAAUUUUCUAAAUAGCUCAGGAAAUUUUUUUAAGUAUUAUGCAUGUAUGUGUGUGUGUGUGUAUGUGUAUAUACCAGUGUGAAAUUAAUUAAAUUUACACCUUUUCAUAUUUUUUAUAAGAUUUCUAUUUUGUUAAUUUAACCGUUGUAUUCCAUAUGUACUCAAUUUACAUAGAUCAUGCAUAAAAAAUUUUAAAUCAAUUGAAAAUAUCUAAUUAUUUGUAUAAUAAUAAUAAAAUUUUAACCGUUAAAUAUAUAUUUAAAAAACAAUAUUCUCUACCAAUGUGAUAUGGAUAUGGCACUGACUUGAAACUUUAUAUGUACUAUUGGAUGCAAAUAAAGUUAGCUUGCUAAAACUUAAUUGUAUAUGAAAUUAUAAAAUGGUGUAUAUAUAUAUAUAUAUAUAUGAGUAUUGCAUAUAUGUAUAUGUAUGUAUAAAGAGAUUCAAUAAAGGAUUAAAUAAGAGAAGAUCUACUAUAAAUGAUUCGUAAAUAAUAUUGAACUACAUUAAUUAGGGUUUUUUAGUGAGGUAUUUUAAUGUUGUUACAAUGUUUUUUGGUCAAGAUAAAAAUUAUGUCCAAAUUUAGCAUUUUACUUUAGACCAAAUUAUGAUCAUAUUUAAAUGAGAAUAAUUGGCACUUUACUUUUAAAUUGAUUAAAAAUGAUCAAAAGUUAUGAAAUAAACUAAAAAGUACACUCAUUCAAAAAAGAAUAGUAAAUUUAAUCCAUCAUUUUUUUAAAAGGUGAAUUUUUAUUAACCUCAACACUAUCAUGCCAUUUUGAGUCUCAAACAUAGAUUGCAAGAGACUCUCACGGCAUAAAUAGUUAGUGAGCAGCCUGUACAAUUUCCAAAAAGAAUAUGCUACUCAACAAGAUUUUGGUAGCAACUCAGGAUAAAGAAACUAACGUACCUUAAGUAGAUUGGUAAAUUUGAACCUAAUCUCAAAUUAUUCUAUGAAGUUUGUUUGUGAAAAUAUGGCAGCUAGCACAUACCCAAAUUAAAGUUGUAAAUAACAUAUACAUGUUCUAUAAUCAUGUUUUCCAACUAAUUGAUUUACAUAUUGUUUUGUAACUUUUUUUUUUGAAACAGGAAUUCUUUUACUAAGAACUUUUUUGGGAAUAAUUUGCUUGAUUGUGUUGGUUAGACAAAAAUUGAAAAGGAGGCAUUUGUCUGUGGAUGACGAUAUUGAGAAUUUUCUUCAGAGUCAAAACAAUUUAAUGCCUAUCAGAUAUUCUUACUCUGAAAUAAAAAGAAUGACUGAUGGCUUCAAGAAUAAACUAGGUCAAGGAGGAUAUGGUUCUGUGUUUAAAGGAAAACUUCGAAGUGGUCAACUUGUUGCGAUAAAAUUGUUAAACAACUCAAAAGCUAACGGCCAAGAUUUCAUCAAUGAAGUUGCAACUAUUGGAAGGAUUCAUCAUGUUAAUGUGGUAAGACUUAUUGGAUUUUGCGUGAAGGGAUCAAAACAAGCUCUUGUAUAUGACUUCAUGAAGAAUGGGUCCUUGGAUAAAAUUAUAUUUUCAGCUGAAAAUAACACUUUGAGUUGGCAAAAAAUGUUUGAGAUUGCUUUGGGAGUGGCUCGAGGUAUUGAAUAUUUGCAUAGAGGUUGUGAAAUGCAAAUUUUACAUUUUGAUAUCAAGCCACAUAACAUUCUUCUAGAUGAGAACUUUACUCCAAAAGUUUCAGAUUUUGGCCUCGCAAAGUUGUAUUCAGUGGAUAAUGAUAUUAUUUCUCUCACAGCAGCACGAGGUACAGUAGGAUAUAUGGCUCCUGAAUUGUUUUAUAAAAAUCUCGGAGGUAUCUCAUAUAAAGCCGAUGUUUAUAGUUUUGGAAUGAUGCUAAUGGAAAUUACUGGAAGAAGAAAAAAAUUUGAAUGCCUCUGCUGAACAAUCAAGUCAAAUUUAUUUUCCAUCAUGGAUUUAUGAUCGAUUAGAUGAAGGAGAUAUCAUGGAGCUUGGAGAUUUGACAGAAAAUGAAAACAAAAUUAUGAGGAAAAUGGUAAUAGUAGCCUUAUGGUGCAUACAGAUGAAGCCCACUGAUCGUCCUUCCAUGAGCAAAGUCUUGAAUAUGCUUGAAAGUGAAGUUGAGCUCCUUGAAAUGCCUCCCAAGCCUUCUUUCUCUGGAAAUGUCAACUAAAUAUAGUAAGAAUUCUCCCCGCACACGUGGCAAUCGGCCUUCCUCAGUUAUCUCGUGAUAUUUGUCAUUGGGACACCACUCAACAUUGUGAUCUUGCUAAAUCUGACAACUUCUUCUGUAUUUAGUUUUUUGAAUGGUACGUAGUUUUUGUUUCCACCUAGAUCUAGUAGGCAGUGUUUGUAUUUUCUCUACUACCUUGGUUUGUUUUGUUUCUGCUACUUCUCUAUUGCCCUGUAUGUGACCUCUGAUGGAAUAAAUCAUUUCCUCACUUGUAAAAAAAUUGCAAGAAAAUGUAAUUUUAUUUUUCCCUUAUUUUAUACUGUCAUCCCAAACUCGCAGCACAACAGACGCCACAUACCUGUAAGAUGUAAUCUUACAAACAUGCAAGGGUCCAAUACAUAUACCUUAAAACACUAACUGAAAGACACUAAAAUACCUGAAGAACAAAGUGAUUCAUAAUCGGUAGAAAUUCAAAAAUCAUAAUUCGACAAUAUUCAGAAUUAAGUCUCUAAAACUAUAAAGUUAACAUGUCAAGAUAAAACUCUGAAUACUAAUUUAAGAUAGUUUGAUGUUCAUAAUAUUUAAAUAAAUCCUAGACAACCUAAAUGCUAUUAGAUUAAAACAUCACUCCUUGAAAUUCUCACGUAGUUGACCAAAUCACAACCUAAAAAAAAAAUUGAAAGAAUGAGUGAGUCCAACUACUCGGUAAGUAACAAAUAUCUCACUUCGUACUACAAAAGCCCUCAAAUAUAUGACCAAAAAUGUUAUCGGAAUAUGGAGUUCCAAUGACCCAAAUUUGGAUUGUCAAAACAGUUGAAAACCAAGUUUCUAAUUAAUUUUAAAAAUUCAUAUUUUCUAAACCACAAAACUAAACUAGAUGCUACAAAAACCAUUGGAAAGAUCUUUUCAAGACCUUUCCAUUGGUAACCAUCAUGCCACCGAAAGGUCACCAGAAUAGUGCCGAAUUUGAAUAAAAGUUAAGAAAACAUAAAUAAUUUAGGGCUUUUGUGCCCAACUAUGGAAAUACAACCCUAAACAUACCUUAAUCAGAAAUCCCUUGAAUACUUUUCUCUUUUUUCUAUCUUUCUUCUUCUAUGGUGUUAAGCUUUUCUGACUACCUAUCGUUUGAGUCUGAUGAAAUAAACUGACAUGAGUUUUCUACCUUUUCUUUUAAACUUGUAAACUAACCUAACCUCCACUAUUUUUUUUUUAAACGUGGUUUAGUGAGUUGUGAUCAGGUAAAACAAAUUGACCUUAACCGCACUAACUUAAACAUGAUAAACAAAACUGACAUUAAUUAAACUUCUUUAUUUACUUAAAGACCCCUUUUUCUAUUUUUUAAUUAUUAAGACACUCAAGGUUGUAACUGUAAUUAAAUAAAAUACUAAAACAACAUUUAUUUAUUUAUUUUAUAAAACUAUAGCCUAAUAAAUCUAAAUGUUUUUAUAAUAUAUACUUUGUGAGGGGUAUUACAUCCUUCCCUCCUUAAAAAGGAGUUUAGUUCCUUAAACUCUUACCUUGGUCCUCAAAAAGGCAGGGAUACUUCUUUUUUAUAUUUUUUCUAAAUCCCAAGUCGCUCCUCAUUCUGUAUGAUUACUUCAUUAGAUCUUAACAUAAGGAAUAGUUCGCCUUCUUAGAACUUGCUUCUUUCUAUCCACAACACACAUAGGAUGCUCAUCAUAAGACAAAUCUUCUCUAAGUAUCAAAGGAGCUAACCACACCACAUGACUAGGAUCUGGAACAUAUUUUCUCAACAAAGAAACAUGAAACAUGUUAUGCGCUCUCGAUAAAGCAGGUGGAAGUGCCAACCUAUAAGCCACAUCACCAACCUUAUCCAAAAUCUCAAACGAACCCAUAUAACAAGAACUAAGUUUUCCUCGAAUCCUAAAUUGCAUUACUCCUCUAGUAGGUGAAACUAGCAAAAAGACAUGAUCUCCAACCUCAAAUUCUAUCUUCCUUGUUUUAUUGUUUGCAUAACUCUUCUAUCUACUUUGAGCCGUACGAAGAUGUUCUCUAACUAACUGAACCUUCUCAACUGCUUGUUGAAUAAGAUCUAGACCCAAUAAUUGUCUUUCACCCACAUCAUCCCAACAAAGAGGUGACCUGCACUUCUUACCAUACAAAGCUUUGAAUGAAGCCAUUUGAAUACUAGACUGAUAGCUAUUAUUAUAAGCAAAUUCCGUCCAUGACAAGUGUCGAUCCCAAAAACCUCCAAAAUCCAUGACACAAGCUCUCAACAUGUCCUUAAGAAUUUGAUUAAUUGUCUCGGACUGACCAUCUGUUUGAACAUGAAAAGUAGUACUAAAAUUAAGUCUAGUACCCAAAGAUUUAUGUAGACUCUCUCAAAAUUUCACCACAAAUCGAGAAUCUUGAUCAUAUACAAUGGACACUAGCACCCCAUGCAGUCUCACAAUCUGCUCCACAUAUAACUCCACUAACUUUUCCAAUGACAUUUCCGUACGAAUAGCCAAGAAGUGAGCAGACUUUGUUAAUCUAUCAACAAUCACCUAGAUGCCAUCAUUACCUUUUAGUGUUCUCGGCAACCAGAUAUAAAGUCCAUAGUAAUUCGUUCCCAUUUCCAUUCUAGAAUAAGAAAUGGUUGCAAUAACUCUACUGGCCUCUGAUGUUCAACCUUAAUUUGUUGACAUGUUAAACAUUUGGCUAAAAACUGUGCAAUCUCUCUCUUCAUAUUGUUCCACCAAAAAGUGUUCUUCAAAUCUCGAUACAUCUUGGUACCACCAAGAUGGAUUGUAUAAUUACUAUAAUGAGCUUUCAACAAAAUUUCUCUCUUCAAUUUUGCAUCAUUGGGAACACAAAUUCUAUCACCAAACCUCAAAGAGUCAUCAUCAUGAAUCCUAAAGUCUGGUUUCAAACCAGAAUUAACCCUAAGUUUAAUGUGCUGAAGUCGAAGAUCAUCUACUUGGGCUGUCUUAAUCCGGUGAAUUAAAGUUGGUUGUACUCAUAUGUUAGCCAAUAAUGCUCCAAAACCCUGUAUACAUACACCAAUAUCCAUCCUCCGUAAGUCCUCCAAUAUCUGUUUUUGGGAAGUAAUCAUUGUGGCCAUGUUCCCAAACGUCUUUCUACUUAGAGCAUCAGCAACUCUAUUUGCCUUACUUGGGUGAUAAUUGAUGGUCAAGUCAUAAUCCUUCAACAAUUCUAACCAUCUUCUUUGUCACAUAUUCAACUCCUUCUGCGUGAUAAGAUACUUUAAACUUUUAUUAUCUGUAAAGACCUCACAAGACUCACCAUUCAAAUAAUGUCUCCAAAUCUUUAAUGCGAAACCACUACUGCCAACUUUAAAUCAUGAGUAAGAUAAUUCUCAUCAUAAGGUUUCAAUUGCUUAGAAGCAUAAGCGAUCACCUUAUCAUCCUGCAUAAGAACACACCCAAGUCCCUUUUUGGAAUCAUCACUAUAAACAACAAAUCCCUUACCACUAAUAGGCCUGGUAUGCAUAGGAGCGAAUACUAAUCUUUUCUUUAUCUCCUCAAAGCUCUUUUCAUAAUCAUUUGUCCACUCAAAACAAAUCCCUUUCCAUAUCAAUUUGGUUAAAAGUAAGGCAAUACAAGAAAAAUCCUCUACAAAUUACCUACAGCAUCCUACUAAACCCAGAAAACUGUUAAUCUCAAAAACAUUAUGUGGUCUCUUUCAAUUCACCACUAUUUCAACUUUCUUUGAAUCCACUGAAAUCCCGUCUUUCAACACCACAUGCCCAAGGAAAGCAACACUAAAAAGUCAAAAUUCACAUUUCUUCAAUUUAGCAAAUAACUAUUUCUGCCUCAAAGUCUUCAAAACAACCCUUAGAUGCUCUUUAUGAUCUGCUGAGCUAGGGGAAUACACUAGAAUAUCAUCAAUAAAAAUAACCACAAAUUUAUCCAAAUAAGGUUUAAAAACCCUAUUCAUCAAGUCCAAAAAAGUAACUAGAGCAUUUGUCAACCCAAAAGGCAUAAUAAGGAACUCAUAAUGCCCAUAUCAGGUACGAAAAGUAGUUUUGGGAACAUCCUCAAUUCUCACCUUCAACUGGUGAUAACCAGAUAAAAGAUUAAUUUUGGAAAACACUUAAGUGCCCUUUAGUUGAUCAAAUAAAUCAUAUAUCCCAGGCAAAAGAUACCUAUUAUUCACGGUUGCCUUAUUUAACUCCCGAUAAUCAAAACACAACCUCAUACUCCCAUUUUUUUUCUUCACAAAUAACACUGGCGCUCCCCAAGGAGAUAUACUACAUCUAAUAAAGCCCUUAUCAAGAAGUUCUUGCAACUGCUCUUUCAACUCUUUUAAUUCUAUAAGAGCCAUUUUAUAAGGAGCUUUAGAAAUAAGGUCAGUUUUUGGAACCAAAUCAAUAGAGAAAUCAAUUUCUCUAUUAGGAGGUAAACUAAGUAGAUCUUUAGGAAAAAAUUAGGAAAUUCCCCCAUAAUAAGAACAUCUUCAAUCAUUAACUCCUUCAUUCUAGUGUCUAUAACAGUUGCCAAAAAUCUUUUGUAACCACUAGUAAGCAAUCACCUAGCUUUCAAAGCAAAGAUGACUCGCAAAGGAGUGUAAGAACCACUACCACGAAAAGAAAAAGGUGUUUCCCCGGGAAUCUGAAAGUCUACCCUUUUCCCUCGAUAAUCAACUUUAGCAAAAUUUGCAACUAACCAAUCCAUCCCCAGAAUUAUAUCAAAAUCUUACAUAUCUAAAACAUGAAGAUCUGUAAGCAAUUCUCUAUCUUCAAUCCUUACCACACACAUCUUAUAAAUCUGAUCAGAGAUAAUAUCACCUCUAACUAGAGUGUCUACGCAUAGUUCAUAAUCUAGAAGCAUACAAGGCAAAGCAAACUUUCGAAAAAAUGUAGCAAAUACAAAAGAACGAGAUGCAUUGGUAUCAAACAAUACAUGAGUAAAAGCUGAGGCAACUAGCAGUGUACUUGAGACAACGGUGUUGGAUGCCUCUACAUCCGAUUGAGUGAUAGCAUAAGCACGCCCCUGGGUGCAAGGUCUUCCCACUUUUUGAUGUUCAAAAGAAGGUGUUUGCGUAGUCUAAACAACAUGAGUGGGUUGAGUCCUUUGCGUUGCAGUUUCAAAAGUUCGAGAGUUUUGCGACCUCUGCACAGAUUGAGAUUCUUGAAGGACUAAAGGACAAUUAGCAAUACGAUGGCCCUAUUGUCUACAUUCAGCAGCUCGAUGUCCUCCACCACACACUGAACACCUAGGCUUUUGUGCCCAAACUAUGAAAAUACAACCCUAAACAUAACUUAAUCAGCAAUCCCUUGAAUAUUUUUCCCUUUUUUCUGUCUUUCUUCUUCCUUGGUGUUAAGCUCUUCUGACUGCCUAUCGUUUGAGUAUGAUGAAAUAAACUUGUAAACUAACCUAACUUUCACUAUUUUUUUUUAAACAUGAUUUAGUGAGUUGUUGUCAGGUAAGAUAUACUAACCUUAACCCCACUAACUUAAAUGUGAUAAAUAAAACUGACAUUAAUUAAACUUUUUUAUUUACUUAAAGACCCCUUCUUCUCUUUUUUAAUUAUUAAGGCACCAAAAGUUAAAACUGCAAUUAAAUAAAAUACUAAAAGAACAUCUACUUAUUCAAAAAUGAAUAGUAAAUUUGAUCCAUCAUGUUAAGUAGAUUGGUGGUAAAUUUGAACCUUUUCUCAAACUAUUCUAUGGAGUUUGUUUGUGAAAAUAUGGCAGCACAUGCCCAAAUUAAAUUAGUAAACAACAUACACAUAUUCUAUAAUCAUGUUUUUCAUCUUUGGGUUGGCAAAGAAUGUUUGAGAUUGCAUUGGGAGUGGUUCGAGGUAUUGAAUAUUUACACAGAGGUUGUGAAAUGCAAAUUUUACAUUUUGAUAUCAAGCCACAUAACAUUCUUCUAGAUGAGAACUUCAUCCCGAAAGUUUCAGAUUUUGGCCUUGCAAAGUUGUAUUCAAUGGAUGACAGUAUUGUCUCUCUUACAGCUGCAAGAGGUACAUUAGGAUAUAUGGCUCCUGAAUUGUUCUAUAAAAAUAUUGGAAGCAUUUCAUAUAAUGUUUAUAGUUUUGGAAUGAUGUUAAUGGAAAUUGUCGGAAGGAGAAAAAAUGUGAAUGUCUCUGCUGAACAUUCAUGUCAAAUUUAUUUUCCAUUUUGAAUUUAUGAUCGACUUGAGGAAGGAGAUAUCAUAGAACUUGGAGAUGUAACGGAAAAUGAAAACAAAAUUAUGAGGAAAAUGGUAAUAGUAGCCUUUUGGUGCAUACAGAUGAAGCCCACAGAUCGUCCUUCAAUAAGCAAAGUCUUGGAGAUGCUUGAAAGUGAAGUUGAGCUCCUUGAAAUGCCUCCCAAGCCUGCUUUCUCUGAAAGGUCAACCAAACCAUUAGUUGUAUUAUAAGUAAUAUUUAAUGUUGUACGUUAAGCAAUGUUUCACUACUUUAUCAUACUACUUUUAUAAUUUUUAUAGUAGAAACCUUAAGCUUGAGGCAUAAUCUUCUCUCUUCCAAAAAAAACCAAAAAAAAAAAACAAUAUAGAAUGGUGAGGAAGAAAGUAUAGCAAGGAAAAGAAGGAUACUGAGUUGGAGUUUUGAGCGUGCGAAGGUGUUAUUUUAGAAGAGUUGUAAUGGUAUCUCGUAAGUAUUUUGUCUAUAUAAAAAGUCUUUUGCUCAUAUAAAGAAUAAAGACUUUAAAUAGCAUUAUCGAUAUAUUAUUGCAAAUAAUUAACUUACGUUUUAAAAAAAUUAAAAAUAUUCCUCAACCAUGCUUGGAAUUAUAAUUUUUAUUUAAAAAAAUAAAUUAUUUGAGUUUUAUUUUAAAAAAAUAAAUUAUUUGAGUUUUCUCUCUUAAUUAAAAAGUCAAAUUUUAUCCAAUUCAAAAAUUUAUUUAAAAUGAUUUGAAAUCAAAUUCAACUUAAUUCAAAUUAAAUGACAAAAAUUAAAAAUUUCAAUAUGAAAAUACGUGAAUUUAAAAUGAUAUUAAUUUAAUCCGACACAAUUCAAUGUUAACAUGACUCGAAUCUAAAACGAACCGAGCUCAUAAUGAUCAAAAAUCCAAGAUUUAUUGGAUCCAAAACUUACAAAAACUUAAAUUUAUAACUCCCAAAAAUCCAAAUUAUAAUUAAAUAAUUUUAUUUAAUAAUUAAAUAAGUAAAUGAUUAAUUUUUAAGUGAAAAUUUUAAGACACACAAGCACCUUUUUCUCGUCAAUGCUUCUUCGUUACUCAGAAACAGCUCAUAAGAAUGGCAUGGUCAACUACUCUGCUUCACCUUCACUUCAAAUCCCCUCCGGUUUCUUCUCACCAAUUCCCACAUUCCCCCCCAAAAAUCCCCGAUCUUCCUAAACCCUAACCCUAUAAUUCCCAAACCCAAACCCCCCAAAAUGCAAUUCCUUCACAGGCCCAACGCGUUUCCAGGCCACGGCGCAGUAUCAAGAGCCAUGGACAUCAUCCAAUCCUCACCGCCCACGUGGGAAUCGGCCUUCCUUACCAACAUCCUGAUCUUCGUCGUCGGGACUGCACUUUUAGUAGCGGGGCUUUCUCUCUCCGAAAUUUUCGCUUCCUUCUUGCUUGGCACUCUCACUUGGCGAGCUUUCGGGUCUUCUGGAUUCCUCCUCAUUGCUUCUUACUUCGUUAUAGUGAGUCACUAAAAAGUCUAUGAAUUUUAUUUGAAUUAUGGGAUUUACGUUAAAAUUGGAAAUGGGUUCUGAUUUUCGCUCCCAUUUGGUAUAAAGUUUAUGCUCUGGAUGACAAGUUUCAUUGUUUGGUAUUUUGGCAAAGGAAAAAAAAUUUAGUUUAUGUCAAAAAGAUUUAACGUGAAGUAUUUAGUUAUUUAAGUGUGAUUUGUUUUUAUUUCAAGAAUUGGAUUACACUAGGUGAAAACAGGUCAAAACUAUAACCAAAACAUUUUUCCAAAAUUCUUUUUUAUUUUCAUUUGUUUUCUUCUUGGUGGGGGCAGGUGAAGGGAGAUUUUAUUUGCUUUUGACAUGUUUCUUAAGUAUAAAGUUGAAGUAGAAGAUAAACUGAAUAAAAAAAUAAAAAAAGUUAAAUUAGAUAGAGAGGGUGAAUAUUUACCUAUUAAUGAUAUUUGUGAAAAGAAAGAAAUAAUUUAUAAAAUUACUCUCUCAUAUUCUACUGAAUCAAAUAGUGUAGUUGAAAGGAAAACUAAAACAUUAAAAGAAAUGAUGAAUUAUAUGCUUAUUAGUUCUAAUGCACAUGAAAAUUUGUAGGGUGAAGUUAUAUUAUUUGCAUGUCAUAUUCAAAAUAGAAUUCACUGCAAGAAAACUGAUAAGACACCUUAUGAAUUGUGAAAAGUCUAUUCUUCUAACUUAAAAUAUUUAAAAGUAUGAGAGUGUUUAGCUAAUGUUAUGCUUCUUGAUUUUAAGAAAAGAAAAAUUGACUCUAAGAUGUCCGGUUGCAUGUUUAUUGGCUAUACCAAAUAUAGUGCUGCAUAUAAAUUUCUUGUACUAAAAAAUGAUGUUUUUGAUAAUAAUACAAUUAUUAAAACAAAAAAUGUUGAAUUUUUUUGACAUAUUUUUCUAUUGAGAACUGAUACAAUUUUUCUUCCAUCUUUUAGUGAAAAUGUUUUUUUAAAUGCAAAAUGAUGAUUUGAGAAGAAGUAAAAGACAAAAGAAAGAAAUUUCUUUUUGUAAUGAUUUUUACACUUAUCUUGUAGAUAAUGAUCUUUUAAAUUAUGCUAAUUCAAUUUCUUCUAAAGAAUGUCCAUUUUGAAAAGACGUUAUACAAAAUGAGAUUGAUUCUAUUUUACAAAAUCAAACCCGGGAAUUAAUUUAUUUACCACCUGAAGCUAAGCCAAUUGGUUGUAAAUGGAAUUUUUAAAAAAAAUUUAAUCUUGAUUAUUUUAUUGAUAAAUACAAAAUUAAAUUAGUUGCUAAGGGUUUUACCAAAAAAUAAAAUAUUGAGUAUUUUGAUACUUUUGCUCUAGUAACAAGAAUUUCAUCUAUUUGUAUUUUAAUUGCCUUAGCUUCGAUUUACAAACUUUUUGUUCAUCAAAUGAAUGUUAAAACAGUUUUUUUAAAUGAUGAUUUAGAAGAAGAAAUUUAUAUGACACAACUCGAGGGAUGUGUACUUCUUGGUCAAGAAAACAAAAUUUGUAAAUUAAUUAAAUCUCUAUAUACUUAAAACAAGCACCAAAAUAAUGGUAUGAGAAAUUUGAUUAAAUUCUUGUUAAUAAUAGAUUUUUUACUAUUGGAGUUGAUAAAUGUGUGUACACAAAAACUAUUGAUAACGAAUAUAUGAUUAUUAGCUUAUAUGUUGAUGAUAUGUUUAUUUGUGGUACAUGCAUUGAUGUGGUAAAUAAAACAAUAUGUUUCUUAACUUAUAAAUUUGAUAUGAAAGAUUUGGGAGAAACCAAUAUUAUUUUGGGUGUUAAAGUCAUAAGAUGUGAGAGUGGCCUAAUGUUAACACAAAAACAUUAUAUUGAGAGGUUACUUAAAAAGUUUAGACAUUUUAAUGUCACACUUGUGAAUACUCCUUAUAAUGUUAAUACCCAAUUAAAGAAAAAUAGAGAUGAUAGUAUGGCUCAACCUUAGUAUGCAUAGAUUUUUAAAAGUUUGAUGCAUUUGAUGAAUUAUACUUGACUUGGUAUAGCUUAUGUUAUGUGUAGACUGAGUAAAUAUACAUAAAGUCUCAAUCAAGAUCAUUGAACUGUUUUGAAUAGAGUAAUGAAAUAUUUGAAAUGUACCAUAAACUAUGAUAUUUUAUAUAAUAGAUUUUCCGUUGCAUUAGAAAGGUACAAUAAUGUUAACUUAAUCUCAUAUUCAGAUGAGACAAAAUUCAUGAGUGAUUAUGUAUUCACCAUUGGUGUGGAUGCUGUUACUUAGAAAUUAGUCAAAUAAAUAAUAAUUACUAAAUCUACAGUGGAAUCAGAAUUUAUAGUUUUAGAAUUAACUAGUAAUGAGGUUGAAUAGUUAAGAAACCUCUUAACAGAUAUUUCAUUAGAAAUGAAACCAACACCUUCUGCGUCUAUGUAUUGUGAUUGUCUAACGGCAAUAAACAUUGUGAAGAAUAAAACUUUCAAUGGUAAGAAUAGACACAUUUGUUUAAGAUAUGAUGUGGUAAAAUAAUUACUUAGAGAUGAAAUUAAUGUCCAUUAAUUAUACGAAGUCAUAUACCAAAAAAUAUAAAUUAUGAAACCGAUGAAUCCUUUUAGAACUAUUAUUUUGCAUUUCAAUAAGUCCAUGGUGGAAUUUUAAGACUGCACAAAUGAAUUCAUAGGAUUGUUUAAGUGAUUUUAUUUAUAUGUUAUUGCAGACAGAUUACAAAAAUUCCUUUCCUGUUAGUUUCGUUAUCAAUCAGUUCAUACGUUAUUUUCUUCAUUAAUUCUUGUUUGAGUGGAAAAUCAUCUCAGAGCUAUGAUUGGCUUGUGUUGAAGUUGUUGGAUUGAAUUAAUUAGUUGACUGGACUGACUUUUCAAACGAAGACGAGUGAGGGAGAAAGACCGCACCAUUAAAAGUUGACUGACUUUUCAGUUACCGCAUGAAACCGUACAACUCUCAGACGUGAGUCUGAAAAAUGUGCAAUUUUGCUAAUAUAUGCAUGUGAUAUUUUUGUCCAAAAUAUUAUCAAAACAAAUUGUAUAGAACUGUGAAAUCCGUAAAAGUUGUUUGCAAAAAGGUUUUUAACAGCACAAGUUAAAGAAAAAAGGUCAAAGGAAGAUUUGAUUUCAAUUACAGCCACAGAAAUAAUUAACAAAGCAAUAAAGAUAACAUUAUCCUAACUCUUAUUUAAUCUCUCUCGUUAAACUUUGUUAUACUUAAUUCUCCUAAAAAAAACUUUUUUAUACUUACAAAAAAUAAAUAUAAGAUAUGGAGAUUGAUCAAUUUUAUUUAGAAUUAUUAUUUUAUAUAUUUGCAAUGAAAUUUUGAAAUUCCAAAUUUCAUAACAUUAUUUAAGUCAUAUUAUAUAUCUACAUAUAUAUAUAUUAUGUUAAGGGGUAUAUUGAUCUCACUAAUGUGCAGAUAUACUUGGAUGAAUUACCCAUGAGUGCUAUGGUAGGCUUUGUGUUAAAUGUGUUUUCUGGUUUGGGUUUAAUUAGUUGUCUGACUUUUCAAAAGAAGACUUGGUUUUAACAAUAAAUAUAAGAGAACAUCAUAGUGCUUCUUCACAAACUAAUUAAGCCCUUAAUCUCCUUCUCUCCCACUGAAAUUUUAGGAUGCUAAGAGCAAAGCUUCCAUUAUUCGGCCUUCUGGCCCUUGCUUUAUCUCUAUUCCCUGAUGCAUGCAUCGCUAGAGGCAAACACAAGCACUGUGGCUCUUCUUUCUGUGGAAACAUUAAUAUCACUUCCCCUUUUCGAUUAAAAAGUCAGCCUCGAAGUUGUGGUUACAAUCGUUAUGAACUAGUAUGCGAGAAUAACCGCACCAUUUUCCCCAUGAAACAUGGGAAUUUCUAUGUCCAACACAUCUCUUAUAGUGACGAAACCAUUCAACUGUUAGACGUGAGUCUUGACAAGGAUAACUUUUUUAUACAAUGAAUUUAUAAGAUUGCUUGAAUGAUUUUAUUCCUAUUUGAGUGGAAAAUCAGCUAAGAGCUAUGAUUGGCUUGUGUUAAAGUGGUUGGCUUUAAUUUGUUGACCUGACUGACUUUUCGAACGAAGACAAGUGAGCAAGAAUAACCACACAUUUUCCCCAUGAAAUAUGAGAAUUUCCAUGUGGAAAAAGCCAUAUAAGUCUUAGAGGUGAGUCUUACCAAGCCACUCGGUAGGAGAUAGGGUAUACAUCUCCCUCAUCAUAAGUAUCCAUGCACGUCAAUAUAGGGUCAUGUGUAUCUCUUAAAUUGCAGGAUGAAGAUGAAUUCUUCGGUUUACAUUGAUGCUUUCCAUUGCACCAAUCGAUGUUCCUCUCCACGCUAUUUUGUUUCUUCAGUCAAAUUAUUGUCUGGUUAACAACUAAUGGAAAUGUAAGGACGGAAUAUUCACGUGAUAUGUUGCAUAAUUUAUACUAUAAUAUUUUAUCAUUGUUAACGGCACAAUUUGAUAAAAAGAUCAAAAUGAAAUCAUUGUAUUAUAUUUUGUGUAAAAUGCAUAAAAAAAAAGAAUUCUAAAUUUNNNNNNNNNNNNNNNNNNNNNNNNNNNNNNNNNNNNNNNNNNNNNNNNNNNNNNNNNNNNNNNNNNNNNNNNNNNNNNNNNNNNNNNNNNNNNNNNNNNNNNNNNNNNNNNNNNNNNNNNNNNNNNNNNNNNNNNNNNNNNNNNNNNNNNNNNNNNNNNNNNNNNNNNNNNNNNNNNNNNNNNNNNNUCUAUACUUAACAAAAGAUAAAUGUAAAAUAUAAAAUUGAUCAAUUUUGUUUAGAAUUAUUAUUUUAUAUAUUUUGAAAUUUUGAAAUUUCAAAAUAUAUAAUAUUAUUUAAGUCGUAUUAUAUAUUAUAUUAUUGAAGGCUUAUAUUAAUCUCCCUACUGUGCAGAUAUACUUGGAUGAAUUAUAAAGAUGUCUUUUCUAUCAGUUUCGCUACGUACCAAUUGGUUGGACACAUAUUUUAUUCUUUCUUAUUUGUUUGUGUUAAAAGUGUUUUGCGGUUUGGGUUUAAUUAGUUGACUGACUUUUCAGAAGAAGACUUGGUUUUAAUAAUAAAUAUAAGAGAACAUCACAGUACUUCUUCACAAACUAAUUAAGCCCUUAAUCUCCUCUCCCGCUGAAAUUUUAGGAUGCUAAGAGCAAAACUUCCAUUAUUUUGCCCCUUGGCUUUUGCUUUAUCUCUAUUCCCCGAUGCAUGCAUGGCUAGGGGCAAAAACAAGGACUGUGGCUCUUCUUUCUGUGGAGAAGUUACCAUCAAAAAGCCCUUUCAGUUAAAAAGCCAACCUCUCAGGUGUGGAAACCGUGGGCUUGAAGUCGAGUGUGACGACAAUAACCGCACCACUUUCCCCAUGAAAUAUGGGAAAUUCCUUGUCCAAGACAUCUCUUAUAAUAACGGCACAAUUCAUAUUAUAUUAUAUUUUUAUGUAUGUUUGUAUCUAUAGUAUUAGUUGUUUAAACUUUUUGGGUGCAAUUCUUUUUCAUAUAUAAUUAACAGCUUUUAUAAAACAGCAGUCUUUGUCACUAUAUAUGCUUGUAAAUCUCUCUUUAACUGCAAUUUUUUUGUCCAAAAUACUUCUAAUAAAAGAUUGUAUAGAGCAGCCAAAUUUGUAAAGUUCUAUCCUAAUUAAAACACUUUCAAUAACAUCUUAAAAAAAUUAAAUGCCAAAGUUAUUGUAGUGUGUUUUUCCCCUUUGGCUCUAGACUCUAGUUUAUUAAAUUUUCAAAGGAAGAUUUGCUUUCAUUUGCAGCCACAGAAUGAUAAGCAGAGCUACCAAGAUAAGAUUAUCUUAGUUCUUAUUUAAUCUUUCUUUUCAAACUUUUUUAUGCAUAUAAAAAAAUGUGAAAUAUGGACGGAUUAGUUCUUUUAGACUUAAUAGGUUGAUGGUGAAAUUUUAAGACUACACAACAUAUUUAUAGGAUUGUUUUUUAUUUAUAUUUUAUUGGGGGUUAAUAUUAGUCUCCCAACUUAGACGAAUAACAAAAAUUCCUUUGCUAUCAAUUUCGUUAUCAAUCAGUUGCAUACGUUAUUUUCUUCACUUAAUUUCUAUGUGGAAAAAGCCAUAUAAGUCUUAGAGGUGAGUCUUGACAAGGAUAACUGCUCCAUUCCUUAUAGUUCCUAUCCUUGCUACAGCCCUUGUGGAAAAAGCCUAUCACUUGGUAGAAGAUAUGGUAUACAUCUCCCUCGUCAUAUGUAUACAUGCACCUCAAUAUAGGGUCAUCUAUCUCUUAAAUUGCAGGAUGAAGAUGAACAUUUGGUUUACAUCGAUGCUUCUCAUUCCACCAAUCGGUGUUCCUCUACAUCUUCUUUUGUUUCUUCGGUAUUUUACAUUGUUAAUGGGACAAUUUGAUAAAAAGAUCAAAAUAAAAUUGUUUCAAAAUAUUAUACACAUGAAAAAAUAUUACGAAUUUAAUUUGAUUACUUUAUUGCGAAAGUUGCAAAAAUAAUUGUAGAAGCAUGUAUAAUGAUUAUGGGCAUUAUUUGAAUAGAUAUUUUUCUCCUUUUUCGCGUCCGACUGAUCGUAACUUAUCUUCAAAUUCAAAUAAAAAAGAAAAAAAAUUCAAGACUGAGAGUAUUUUAGAUAGUCAUUCAAGAGCUUGACUGAUUUCAUAUUGGUCUGUGCAACAAAUUUGCAAAUUUUUUAAAAGACAACUUUGAACUUUAGACAUGCAUAAUUUUUUUAAUACACAGGGAAAAUGUAUAUAUAAAGUACAAGGAAAGAUAUAUCUAUAUAAAUUAAAUUAAUUUUACACACCCUUUUAUAUUUUUUUAUACAAUUUAUAUUUUGUUAAUCCAAUCAUUGAUUUCAAAUUAUAUUCACAUAAAUCAUGCAUAACAGAUUUCAAAUUAAUUAAAACUGAUUAACUAUUUAUUUGAUAAAAAUAAAAUUUCAAUUGUUAAAUAUAUUGAAAAAAUAAACAUUUUACCAAAUUGACUUUGAAAUUACAUGAUAAGUACAAGUUGUUAAAUCUAACAAUAAAAUAUUAAUUUUUAAAGAAAUUAUAAAAAAUGUAAAACUAAUUAGUUUUACGCAAAAAAAUUAAUUUAUUGUUAUUUAGGCUUUUGUGUGCAAUUUUUUCAUAUUUAACAGUAGUUGAAAAUAUGCGGUCUUUACUAAUAUAUGCAUGUGAUAUUUUUGUCCAAAAAUUACCAAAAACAUAUAGAACUGCGAAAUCCGUAAUGUUGUAUGGAAAAGGAUUUUUAACAACACAAGCGAAAGAAAAAAUUUAAUAAAUACAAAGUUAAUAUAGUUUGUUAUUUCCACUUAUUCAAAGGAAGAUUUGAUUUCAAUUGCAGCCACAGGAAUAUUUAGCAAAGCAAUGAAGGUAACAUUAUCCUAACUCUUAUUUAAUCUUUCUGGUUAAACUUUUUUUUACAUAAUAUUCCCAAAAAAAAACUUUUUAUACUUAUAAAAAUUAAAUAUAAGAUAUAUGGAGAUUGAUCAAUUUUACUUAGAAUUAUUAUUUUAUAUAUUAGCAAUGGAAUUUUGAAAUUCCAAAUUUUAUAACAUUAUGUAAGUCACAUUGUAUUUAUUUAUUUAUUGAGGGGUUAUAUUAGUCUCCCUACCGUGCAGAUAUGCUUGGAUGAAUUAGAAAGAUUUCUUUUCUGUCAGUUUCGUAAUGUAUCAAUUGGUUGGACACAGAUUUUCUUCUUUCUUGUUUGUUUGUUUGCGUGGAAAAUCACCCAUGAUUACUAUGAUUGGCUUUGUGGUAAAAGUGUGUUGCGGUUUGGGUUUAAUUAGUUGACUGACUUUUCAAAAGAAGACUUGGUUCUAACAAUAAAUCUAGGAGAACAUCAUAGUGCUUCUUCACAAACUAAUUAAGCCCUUAAUCUCCUUCUCUCCCGCUGAAAUUUUAGGAUGCUAAGAGCAAAACUUCCAUUAUUCGGCCUUCUGGCCCUUGCUUUAUCUCUAUUCCCUGAUGCAUGCAUCGCUAGAGGCAAACACAAGCACUGUCGCUCUUCUUCCUGUGGAAACAUUAACAUCACUUACCCUUUUCGAUUAAAAAGCCAGCCUCAUAGGUGUGGUUACAAUGAGCUUGAACUAGUGUGUGAGAAUAACCGCACCAUUUUCCCCAUGAAAUAUGGUUAUGGGAAUUUCUAUGUCCAACACAUCUCUUAUAGUAACAAAACCAUUCAAAUGUUAGACGUGAGUCUUGACGAGGAUAACUGCUCCAUUCCUCAUAGUUCCUACCCUUUCUACGUGGAUGCACUAAAUAUAUAUUCCUAUCAAACUACCACUGAACCUAGCAUCAUGUAUCUCGUAAAUUGCCCGAUCCAGAUCAACAACUCUUGGGUUUAUAUUGAUGCUUUUCGUUGUACCAAUACCCCUUCCUCUCGACCUCCUUACUUUUACUUUUUGGAUGAAAAUACUGCAAUGUCUAAUUUCCAUGAGUCAUGCACAGUUGAAGCGCAGGUUCCAAUCAUGGUUGCCAAUAUCACUGGCCUCUCUACUUUUGAUAUUUACACAAAGCUGUUGGAGGGAUUCCAACUCUCAUGGUCUUCGUAUGAUGAUAUGUCAAGGUGAGACUCAGUUUUUAACGCGUGAGGAUUUUUAAGUAUUCCAAACUAUUUGGUGCAUUUUAGUUUUUGAAAAGUAUUUAUUAUUUUUAGUUUUUAAUUUUUAAAUUACCUUUUUAACUAUGUAUAUAAAUUUUUAUAAUUAGAAUCACAAAUUUUUAUUACUGUAGUAUCUUCUUCAGACUUUGAUUAUUUACUUUUACUCUAAAUUUGUUUAAUGUAAAAUUUAAACAGAAGCAUUUAAAAUAUUUUAAACAGUGAAAGUGCGCAUUUCAUGGCCUUAUUAAGGAUAACGGUUUUGAUGUGCUUUCUUGAAUAUUAAUUAUAGAUUGCUCUGGCUGUUGCUGCAUCCGCUGCAAAUAUAUAUUCAAAGCAUCAUGGCUUUGUUUCAACCAGAUUAUUUCUAUGCACCUUAUAAAGGUAUUCGUUCUUUUUUGAGUUCAUUAAUAAUUUGAUUCUUAUUGGAUUGGCCUUUACUUUCCUGUAUAGUUGACUUGACUCUUUACGUGCAUCAUAAGUAAACUGUUAAAUUUAAUAGUUGGUUUAUUAAAAUAUUAAUAGUAUACGAAGUUAUAAAAAAUUUAUAAAAAUUAAUUAAUUAAUUUUAUAGUGGUGUUGUGUGAGUAUCGCAUAUAUGUAUACGUAUGUAUCCAAGUGACUACAUAAAAGAAGAUCCAUCAUAAAUGAUUCAUAAAUAAUUUUGAACUACAUUAAUUGGGUAUUUUUUAACUAGGUAUUUUUAUGAUGUUGUGAUUUUUUUGGUCAAAAUAAAAAUUAUGUGGAAUAAGGUCUAAAUUUACCAUUCUAUAUAUUUCGGAUAAUGGAUCAAACUUGUCAGCAUCUUUGAACGGGUGUAAUUUUGCCAUUAUACUUUUAAAUUAGUUAAAAAUGUAAUCAAAAGUUAAGACUAAUGUUAAUUUUUGACCAUUUUUGAAGUAAAUUAAAAUGUAUAAUGGUAAAAAUUGCACUUGUUUAAAAAUAAAAUAAUAAAUUUGAUCCAUCACCUUAAAUAAACUAGUGUGUGUAAAUUUAAAUUUUAUCCCAAAUUAUGUUAUGAAUUUUGUUGGGGAAAAUAUGGCAGCACAUACCCAACUUAAAUUGGUAAAUGACAUAUGCAUAGCAUAUAAUCAUGUUGUCCAACUAAUUAAUAUAUAUAUUGUUAUGUAAUUUUUUUUUUGUGAAACAGGAAUUAUAUUGCUAAGAACACUUUUGGGGAUAAUUUGCUUGAUUAUAUUGGUUAUACGCAAAUUAAAAAGGAGGCAUUUGUCGAUGGAUGACAUGAUUGAGAAUUUUCUUCAGAGUCAAAACAAUUUAAUGCCUAUAAGAUAUUCUUAUUCUGAAAUAAAAAGAAUGACGGAAGGUUUCAAGAAUAAACUAGGACAAGGAGGAUAUGGCUCUGUGUUUAAAGGAAAACUUCGAAGUGGUCAAUUUGUUGCGGUAAAAUUGUUAAACAAAUCAAAAGCUAAUGGUCAAGAUUUCAUCAAUGAAGUUGCAACUAUUGGAAGAAUUCAUCAUGUUAAUGUAGUAAGACUCAUUGGAUUUUGUGUGAAGGGAUCGAAACAAGCUCUUGUAUAUGACUUCAUGCAAAAUGGAUCCUUAGAUAAAAUAAUAUUUUCAACUGAAAGUAACACUUUGAGUUGGCAAAAAAUGUUUGAGAUUACAUUGGGAGUGGCUCGAGGUAUUGAAUAUUUACAUAGAGGUUGUGAAAUGCAAAUUUUACAUUUUGAUAUUAAGCCACAUAACAUUCUUCUAGAUGAGAACUUCAUCCCGAAAGUUUCAGAUUUUGGCCUUGCAAAAUUGUAUUCGGUGGAUGAUAGUAUUGUCUCUCUCACGGCUGCAAGAGGUACAUUAGGAUAUAUGGCUCCUGAAUUGUUUUAUAAAAAUAUUGGAAGCAUCUCAUAUAAAGCUGAUGUUUAUAGUUUUGGAAUGAUGUUAAUGGAAAUUGUCGGAAGGAGAAAAAAUGUGAAUGUCUCUGCUGAACAUUCGAGUCAAAUUUAUUUUCCAUCAUGGAUUUAUGAUCGACUUGAAGAAGGAGAUAACAUAGAGCUUAGAGAUGUAACGGAGAAUGAAAACAAAAUUAUGAGGAAAAUGUUAAUAGUAGCCUUUUGGUGCAUACAGAUGAAGCCCACAGAUCGUCCUUCAAUGAGCAAAGUCUUGAAGAUGCUUGAAAGUGAAGUUGAGCUCCUUGAAAUGCCUCCCAAGCCUGCUUUCUCUUGAAAUGUCAACCAAAUCAUUUGGUGUUGUAUUAUAAGUAAUAUUUAAUAUUGUAUGUUAAGCAAUGUUUCACUACUUUAUUAUAUUACUUUUAUAAUUUUUAUAGUAGAAACCUUAAGCUUGAGGCAUAAUCUUCUCUCUUCCAAAAAAAAACAAAAGAAACAAAAACAAUAUAGAGUGGUGAUGAAGAUAGUAUAGCAAGGAAAAGAAGGAUACUGAGUUGGAGUUUUGAGCCUGCGAAGGUAUUAUUUUAGGAGAUUUGUAAUGGUAUCUUGUUAGUAUUUUGUUUAUAUAAAAAGUCUUUUGUUCAUACAAAGGGCAAAGACUUUAAAUAGCAUUGUCUAUACAAUCAUUAUGUUAAUGCAAAUAGUUAACCAAGUUUUUAAAAAAAUUAAAGAUUUUUCUAAACCAUGUUUGGAAUUAUAAAUUUUUUAUUUAAAAAAUGUAAAUUAUUUGAGUUUUCUCUCUUAAUUAAAAAAGUCAAAUGUUAUCGAAUUCAAAUAUUUAUUUAAAACGAUUCAAAAUCAAAUUCAAUUUAAUUCAAAUUAAAUGACAAAAAUUAAAAAUUUGAAUCCAAAAAUAUGUGAAUUUAAAAUGAUAUUAAUACAAUCUACCUUCAACAUAACUCGAAUCUAAAACGAACCGAGCUCAUAAUGAUCCAAAACCCAAGAUUUAUUUGAUCCAAAACUUAUAAAAACUUAUAUUUAUAACUCCAAAAAAUCCAAAUUAUAAUUAAAUAAAUUUAUUUAAUAGCUAAAUGAGUAAAUGAUUAUUUUUUAAGUGAAAAUUUUAAGACACACAAGCACCUUUUUCUCGUCAAUGCUUUUUCUUUGCACAGAAAAAGCGCAUAGGAAUGGCAUGGUCAACUACUCUGCUUCACCUUCACUUCAAAUUCCCUCCGGUUUCUUCUCAUCAAUUGCCACAUUCCCUCCCCAAAAAAUCCCCAAUCUUCCUAAACCCUAUCCCUAUAAUUCCCAAUUCCAAACACCCCAAAAUGCAAUUCCUUCACAGACCCAACGCGUUUCCAGGCCAAGGCGCAGUAUCAAAAGCCAUGGACAUCAUCCAAUCCUCUCUGCCCACGUGGCAAUCGGCCUUCCUCAGCAACCUCGUGAUCUUCGUUGUCGGAACCCCACUUUUAAUAGCGGGACUAUCUCUCUCCGGAAUUUGCGCUGCCUUCUUGCUUGGCACUCUCACUUGGCGCGCUUUUGGGUCUUCUGGGUUCCUCCUCGUUGCUUCUUACUUCGUUAUAGUGAGUCAUUACAAAGUCUAUGGAUUUUAUUUGAAUUAUAGGAUUUAAGUUAAAUUUAGAAAUGGGGUUCUGAUUUUUGUUCCCAUUUGGUAUAAAGUUUACGCUUUGGAGGACAAGUUUCAUUGUUUGGUAAAUAUGGCAAAGGAAAAGAAAUUUAGUUUAUGUCAAAAAGAUUUCAUGUGACGUAGUUUGUUAUUUAAGUGUGAUUUGUUUUUGUUUAAAGAAUUGGAUUACACUAGGUGAAAUCAGGUCAAAACCAUAACCAAAAUAUUUUUUCCAAAAUUUCUUUAUUUUCAUUUGUUUUCCUCUUGGUGGGGGGCAGGUGGAGGAGCCAGGGAGAAUUUAUGGGUUCUCGCAGUUUUAGACUAGUUUGAAACGAUAUAGUAUUGUUUUUCCUGCUUUCCUUUCUGAUAAUGGCUUGUUUUACUUGCAAAAUGAAUCUUGAAUUAGUUCCUCCUUCCCUCUUCUGAUUUUCCCUACCCAUAUUUCUAGUUGAAGAUAAUAGUUUCAAAUCAUGCUUGAAAACUAUAUUACAAAAUACUUGUAAUAUCAAACAAUUUUGUGUGGCAUUCGAGUUUCUAAUUUGAAUGGAGAAAUAAUUGGGAUGGAAGUGGUAUUAAAUUUAGAGGAAAGAAACAAGAAUGCCUUUUGCAACAUUACAAAGAAAAGAAAAGAAAACCUAGUAUAAAACUUCGGAAGAUGCUUGAUUAUAAGGUGCUGGGCUUUUGAGGACCUGAGACUUCAUAAUACUUUAUAAUUCUCUAGAUCUUCAGGCAAUCUUACAGCUCUUUGUCAUGCCUCUAAAACAAAUGCGGUAAAACCAUGCUCAAUUGUUCAAAUUGUUAUGCUCAAUUGAGAACUCCUGACCUGUUAUGUGUGUGUGGAGAUGAUAACACCAAUGAAUGGCCUUGUUAUACGGAUGACCGCUCAUGAUAAUUGCUACUUCAAAAAUUAUUGGCUUAGAUUUUGCUGCUGUGUUUUGAAACUUGUUGGCAUGCCUCACGAAUGCUGCGAAAUGUGCAGAAGGUUUCUGAGAUCUUGCUGCCAUCUAAGAAGAAAGAAUAGGUGAAAUUGUACAGGUACUAUGAAUAUGAUGUAAUGUUUAGCUUUUUUAUAGGGACUUCCUUUUUGUAUAGUGAACUUGGUUGCAUUGGAAUGAGUCUGUUCUCUGGGAAGAAUCACUGUUCUGAAAUUUGUUAAGUCUGAUCACAAUUGCAACCAGGAGCGGCAUGCCUUGCUUUUCUUCUCAUAGGGCAUGAGGGUAUCCCAUCAGGGUUCUUUUUGUGAACCCCUCUUAUGAAAUAACAUCUUCUAUGCCUUUCCAAAAAAAAAAAAGUAACAAUCACAUGGCAUAAUUUUUUCUUACAAUAUGAGAGUACUACAUCAGAGUUUCUUAAUGCACUAAGAAAAGUUAGAGAUAAGGUCUAAGAAAAUAUCAAUUUCAAGAAGAAACAAAUAACACUAGAAUCAUAUUUUACAAAAAUAUCAUAAUUGAGUCAUGUAUAUAAAUAAUUUUGAUGUAUGAGGAAAUUAUUAAUUUAUAUAUCAAGUGAGAUCUAUGUGUUUUUUUUCAAAAUGUAUUAUCUUAUUAAUUUAACAAAUUAUUAAUUUAUCAUGUUGAUCUCAAAUCAGGACCAACCAAAAUUAAUAUUUAUUCAAAAUUAUUAAUUUAUCAAGUAUUAUUUAUAGAAGAUUUGUUGUACUUCUUUGUAAUUCACUCUAAAUAAAAGGGUAUGUUGAAACAAGCGGAAUUUAGAUCCCUUAUGGUUCUUGCUACAUUUAAGUACUAUUAAUGUCAUUUAUGCUGGUUAUAAAGAUCUGACAUUUUAUUUAGAAACAAAAUUUGUAGAGUGUCAAGCUUUAAUAGCUUUUUUUUUUUGUUGCUUUUUAAUGUUUAUAUUCGUUGCUAUAUACUAUUUUUUUCCCUAUCAAACCAUUCUUUCAUGCUUACAAAUUUAAAUUUGUGGUGUGCAAAAAUUGUUGGUGUAUUUUCAAAAAUCAAAGGUUAUGUCACAUAAUCAAAAGCUAUCUUAGCUCAAAGGUUUGUCACAUAAAGUGACAUAGUGUGACUAUUGGAUUGUAGACAGGUUAUNUUGGUGUAUUUUCAAAAUCAAAUGUUAUGUCACAUAAUAAAAAGCUAUUUUAGCUCAAAGGUUGUCACAUAAAGUGACAUAGUGUGACUAUUGGAUUGUAGACAGGUUAUUGUUUCAUUAGAUAUGAAAAGUUAUUGUUUCAAAUUAUAACUCAAAGAUUAUGAUUUAUGGAAUGAAUAGUUGUCCUUUCAUUAGAUGAUUAUUGAAACAAUACAUUUAUCUUAAAGUUGUGUCUAGCAAAAUGUAAAGAUGUCUUUUAGACAAAAUGGUGUCUUAAUAAAAGGGUUGUGUCCUUGAAGAAGAGACACUUGCAAGCCUAUGUAAAGGGCUUGUUGCCAACCAUUUUUACACAUCAAAUCAAAAACAAAACAAGAACAGAAAAUCAAGAGUAAGAAAGUGUUGUGUUCUAUUAACAUAAACACUUAAGUUCCCAUCAACUACAAAAGCAUCAAAAUUUCUUAUAAUCUACUUGUUGUAGAAAGUAAGCUCUAAAGCCAAACAACUUUGCAAACCCUUAGAUAUAUCUAGUGGUCUACUCUCGUAAAGUGCAAGACAAAGUUAAACGUUAGCUUCAUUGUAUCCUUAAAACUAUUCGCAUUAUUUCUCUUUGCAUACUGAGUGGUGGGGAUGAAAUAAGUUUUAAAAAUAAUGUCUAUUGAAAAGCUCGCCUUAAAAUCAAUUUUGUUGGUUCUUAAAUUUCAUCUAAACCUCAUUUGCACCAACAAAAAUGAACAGGUACCUACUUUACUUUAUUAUUCUACUUUUAUUAUAUAAUUUUUAUAGUCUCCUUUUUCAUCUUAUAUACGGAAUCAGAUCCAUAUAGAAACCUUAAGCUUGAGGCAUAAGCUUCUCUCUUAUGAAAAUAAAAUAAAAUAAAAUAAAAUAAAAAUCAAGAGCAGUAUAUAUACCAUUGUGAAUGAAUAAAGUAUAAAAUCAUAGUGCCUUUUGAGAUACAAAACAUUGUGAAUGCGACAAGAAGUAUUAGUUGUAAUGUGUUAAUGGUCAUUUUUAAAUCAAAUUAAAAAUGUUACUAUUAGCAAUAUCAAGAAUUGCCAAGGAGAAAUUCAUUGAUAAAAUGACAAAUACCCGAAUUCUCUUCAUUGGCAACUUUACUAAAAAUCACUUUCAACGAAAAAAAAUUAGUAAAAGAUCUUCCAUAUUAUCUCUAUAUAUAGUAUAAUAUCAAAAUUUAGUAUUCUAAAAAUUUUAUUUUAUGCUGUUUUAGUACUAACAUAUUUUAAACAAUAUCAUUGUUUAUAUUAUUAUUACACGGACACUACUUACAUAUAAUAUAUAUAUAUAUAUAUAAAAGAUAAUAGCAUUGUUAGCUUUAUUAGAAUGAAUAAUUGAUUUUUUUUAAAAAUAGAAUGAAUAAUCUAACGAGAUGAAUUGGAUUUUAAAAACUUUUUUUGACAAAAUAAAAUCUAAAAAAAAAACACAUCAAAUAAUAAAAUCAAAACCAUUAAAUAAAUAUUUAACUGAAAAUAAAUGUAAUAAAAAUAAAUAGUAUAGGGUAAAAAUAUUUGCAAGAACCAUUUAUAAAGGUUCAAUCUUGUCUCUUGGUAUUUAUGUCACAAGUCUACUUUCUAAUCCAAAAGACAUGCAUAUUAAGUAAAGAUAGACAUUUAUUUAUAAAUCCAAGACUCAACUCAUCUCUUAUUAAUGUAAGAUCUAUCACAUUCUACCUCACCUAAUUGUUCAAUACGUUCGUUGCAUCGGCUCCUUUACUCAUAGAGGAGAGGGACCGUAUCUUGAUCUAAGUCUACCUCGAACCUGAUAUCUUUUAUAAAAGUUUCAUACUAGUUAAGAGUUAAGUUUGCUCUAAUACCACUAAUCACGAGUUCACAUUUCUAAUCCAAAAAAUAUACAUAUUAGAUAGAGAGAGGCCCUUAUUUGUAAAUCAAGACCCACCCAUAUGACACUUACAUUCUCUCUCUUAGUGUAGUAAAGAGUUCAAUACACUACUUAAUUCAACCAAUACAAAUACUAUUUUCUUGCGUAUCCAAAACAUGCAAAAAAUGCUCUACUUCCCUAUGUGAUACCUCAGAUGAAAUAAAUUAUUUCCUCAUCUUUAAAAGAAAAUACAAUAAUUGUAAAUUUUAUUUUUCUCCUAUUUUAUGUAACAGCCUCAACUUUGACUAAGGUUAUAAAUUACUUGUGUUGAACCAUUUGAUAACUUGCCAUGAGAUUUAAACAUAUGUAUUAAAUAUAUGAACAAAUGACAAUGUGUUUAAGGAUCUUGAAUGAUAAACUAUUAGGGUAAAAUACCCUUACCCCUCUAAGUUUUGAUUGAAAUUACAUGGAGGUCCAUUAGUUUUCAAAAUAGACACUCCGCCCCAAAAAAAUAUUUUUCACUGGACAUUUAGGUCCAGUUGUUAGUCAACCAUUAGUGUUUCCGUCAAUUUGAUGAUGUGAUAAGGGUAAAAACAUAAUUUCACCAUUGAUUAAUUUUUAAAAUUACUAUUAUAUAAUUUUAUUAAUUUUUUAAUUAAUUAAAAUAAAAAAGCUCCUCAAGGAGCAUUAAAGCUCCCUGGGAAGCACCAAUCGGGUGCUCCCCUCCCUUGAGGAGCACGAUGCUCUCUUUUUUAAAAUUUUUUUAAACAUAUAAUAUAAUUUUUAAAAUUUAUAUAAAAAAAAGAAAAGACAUUUUAGUCUUUUCCUAAUCUCUAUUAACGGUAUUUUCAUUUUUAGGACAAAGUGUCCAUUUCAAAAACUAAUAGACCUGCUUAAAAUUUGAACUAAAACUUAAAAGGUAGGGGUAUUUUACCCUAAAAUAUUAUGUUUUUGAUUAGAUUUUAGACCUUAAGCUAUGUGUUGAUAUGUUUUGACACUGAAUAUUGGUUAAUGUGGUGCAUACUAGUUGCAUUAAGAUGAAUAUUGAAAUAACAAAUCGUUUUGGAAGUCCAAAUUUGGAGUUAGGUAGUUUGAAGUGUUGAAAGUUUGCCUUUAGGAGAAAAUGUAUUGAUAAAUUCCUUGAUCUAUCAAUACAUUCAUGGCAGAAUGCCUUGGCAAAGCUUUCUAUCAAUACAUUCUAGAAUGUUUCGAUAGAUUUGGGCCAGGAGGCAUUCUAUAUGAAAACUCUCGAACAUUACAAGAACGUAUUGAUAGAUUUAAAAAGAUGGAUAUUUUGUAAAAAAGGUAUUUAUAGAUUUUCUUGAUCGAUCGAUACAUUUCAAGCAUAAAGCAUUCUUUUAAAUUUACUUCAAUAUGUUGGUACAUGUAUCGAUAGAUCUGAUGAAAAUUCGUGAAAAUGUAUCAAUGCAUGAUUGUAAGUCAGCAAAAAUAAAAGAGACUUUGGGCAUUCCACCCAUUUGAAAACACAAGGAAACAAAAGCUUUCCCUCCUUGCCUUUGAAACCCUAAAACCCCCUAGUAGAUUGGAACUAAUUUGGAGUACUUGGAAGCUUGGAAAUUCAUACUUAAGGUAAGAUCAAGCUUCCUAACAUUUUGAAUUACAUUUUAAUCGGUUCAAAAAUGAGAAUUUGACUAUGGUUUCAUCUCAAUUAUCUUCUCCUUGAGUUGUUGGGAUUUUGGAGUCUUAAGGGCUUAGAAUAGCUGCCAAGGUGAGGAAACCUAACUGUUUUGAACAUUGGAAACAAUGAAACCUAUGAUUUGGAUUGGUAGUUGGAUUUAGAAGCUCAGUUAGGCUUAGAAAAUCUGUGCAUGCUUUGAAAAAAGCUAAAGGUCUAGAAUUUAUGGAUUUGUUAGGUGAAGUGGGAACUUAGAGCUGUUGAUGAACUGAAAUUCUAUGUGGAAUGAUGGACGCAGUGUUUAGCUGAGUGUGAUGUCUUGGCUUCUUCUUGGAAGAAUGUUGCAGCACUAAAACUUUACUAUUUAGCAAUGUGAGUUACGUUAGAGAUAUUCUAGGUCAGUGGGGCAUUUUAUCUAGAAAUUAAGAUUUGAUGUAUGUAUGCACAAAUGUAUGCAUGUGCACUGCCAUGAAACAUGAUUGGUUGAUAAAAUGCUUAGAUGAACUAUGCAUAGGCCGAUGGGUUGAUUGAGCUCUAUUAUAGCUAUGUAUGUUAAUAAUAAAAACCUGUUUGAUAUUGGGUGAGCCAUGUGGUGGUGAUUGAGCUUGACUGUCUUAGUAUUCGCGACUAAAAAGUCUAUUGACCAUGCCUCUGCGCUUGUAUAAAACUUAUAACUUGAUACCUUUUUCUGUGGUAGCGUAUGAUUAUUGCUAAUUCUACGAAAUAAUGUUAUUAGUGAACUAUGGAAAAUCUGAAUUAUGAAAGUUGAUUGAGUUGCAUUCGUAAUUAUGCAUGUAUGAUGCCAAAUGGCUAUGUUAAUGACUUUUGCACAUGUAAUGGCGACACAAUUCCUAAUGGUAAUUGGUUUCGUCUUACGAGUGCUUUCUGGACGAUGAUAUGGUCUAGUUAGAAGGUGUCAUAGUCCCUGUGGUCUUGCUUACCAUUAGCAGUUUAGGCGUUGGACGUGUUUUGUUUACUUGGGAAGACCCUUCUCUUGUUACCAUCUUGAUGAUAACACAAUUUAAUUAGUUGACUUGACUGUCUUUUCAAUCCAAGACAAGUGAGCGAGAAAAACUGCACCAUUGCUCCAUGAAACCUUACAACUCUUAGACGUGAGUCUUGACCUCAUCGAUAGUUCCUAUCCUUGCUACACUCCUUGUGGAAAAAGCCUACCACUCGGCAGAAGAUAUGGUAUGCAUCUCCCUCAUCAUACAUGCACCUUAACAUAGGGUCAUGUAUCUCUUAAAUUGUAGGAUGAAGAUGAAGUCUUCGGUUUACAUUGAUGCUUUCUCAUUGCACCAAUCGAUGUUCCUCUCCACAUUAUUUCAUUCUUCAGUCAAAUUAUUCAUUGUUAACAACUAACGGAAAUGUAAGUGUGGAUUAUUCACGUGACAUGUUAAAUAAUUUUUACCAUGAUAUUUUAUUACUGUUAACAGUACAAUCUGAUAAAAAGAAUAAAAUGAAACCAUUUUAAAAUAUUAUGUGUAAAAUAUAUGAAAAAAGAUUAUAGAUUUAAUUUGAUUACAUUGCUGCCGGACUUACCAAAAUAAUUGUAGAAGCAUGUCUAAUGAUUAUAGGCAUAGCUCUUCAAAGAAAAAUACUGUUUUAUACUUAACAAAAAGAUAAAUGUAAAAUAUAAAAUUGAUCAAUUUUGUUUAGAAUUAUUAUUUUAUAUAUUUUGAAAUUUUGAAAUUUCAAAAUAUAUAAUAUUAUUUAAGUCGUAUUAUAUAUUAUAUAAUUGAAGGGUUAUAUUAAUCGCCUUACUGUGCAGAUAUACUUGGAUGAAUUAUAAAGAUUUCUUUUCUAUUAGUUUCGCUACGUAUCAAUUGGUUGGACACAUUUUAUAAUAAAUAUAAGAGACCAUCAUAGUGCUUCUUCACAAACUAGGACCUUAAUCUCCUUCUCUCCCGCUGAAAUUUUAGGAUGCCAAGAGCAAAACUUCCAUUAUUUUGCCUCUUGGCUUUUGCUUUAUCUCUAUUCCCCGACUGAGGCUCUUCUAUCUGUGGAAAUGUUACCAUCAAAAAGCCCUUUAAGUUAAAAAGCCAACCUCUCAGGUGUGGAAACCGUGAGCUAGUAGUCGAGUGUGACGAUAAUAACCACACCAUUUUCCCCAUGAAAUAUGGGAAAUUCCUUGUCCAAGACAUCUCUUAUAAUAACGGUACAAUUCAACUUUUAGACGAGAGUCUUGGCAAUGAUAACUGCUCCAUUCCUCAUAGGUCCUAUCCUUUGUACAUCCCUUUUGCGAAAAAACAACGUCUCUAUGAAGAUACCACUGAAUUUAGCAUCAUGUAUCUCGUAAAGUGCACGAUGCAGAUCAACUACUCUCGGGUUUAUAUCGAUGCUUUUCGUUGCACCAAUACUCCUUCCUCUCUACCUCCUUACUUGUAUUUUUUGGAUAAAAAAACAGCAAAGUCUGAUUUCCAUGAGUCAUGCAGAAUUGAAGCCCAGGUUCCAAUCAUGGUUGCCAGUAUCACUGGCCUCUCUACUUCUGAUAUUUACACAAAACUGUUGACGGGGUUCCGACUCUCAUGGUGGGAUUAUGCUUAUCAGUUUGGCUGGCUGCGGUGGGACUCAAUUGUUAACGUGUGAGGAUCUUUAAGUAUUCCAAAAUAUUUGGUGCUGUUUAGUUUUUGGAAAUGUUAACUAUUUUUAUUAUAAAUAAACAAAUAAGAUAAAAAUUUUAGUCUUUAUUUCUUUUUAAAAAGUUGACAACAUUUUUAAAUUACUAUUUUAACUAUGUAUAUUAAUUUGUUAUCUAAAAUUUAAACUCGAUAUUUUUAAAGAAUUACAGACUUUAAUUCUAUUAAUGUAGUGUCUACUUCAGACUUCAAUUAUUUCCUUUAAAUAUGUUUAGUGUAAAAUUUAAAGAUAAGGAUUUAAAGCAUUUUUAACAGUAAAAGUGUGCAUUCCAUUUAACUUAUUAAGGAUUAGCGGUUUUGAUGUUCUUUCUUGAAUAUUAAUUAUAGAUUGCUAUGGGUUUUAAAAAAAAAAGGAAGUAUAGAUUGCUAUCCUUGGUCAACCUUUUGCUGGCUCCGCUGUUUAUAUUUAUUGAAAGCAACGCGGCUCUUCUGCUAGGCAUCCCAACAGAGGAUUCAUUGGUAGAUAACAAAGGUGUUCUUUCUUUUCUGAGUUUGUUACUAUUUUGAUUAUUAUUGGAUUUACCUUUACUUUCCUAGGAUCUAUUAACACUUAGUUCUCGAAUCGGUAAAAUCUUAGCAUGAAUCCAGAUUUAUAUUUAUAUAUCAUUAAUUUAACAAUUGUAUUUCGUAAUCUAUUUACUUAUAUCAUGCAUGAUAAAUUUUAAGUUAAUUGAAAAUAUUUAAUUAUUUAAAUGAGAACAUUAAAAUUUUGACCAUUAAAUAUAUAUUAAAAAACCAAUAUUCUUGAGCAAUACGAUAUGGAUUAUCACAUUGAUUUGAAAUUUUAAAUGUAUGAUGAGUACGAAUAGUGUAUGAAAUUAUAAAAAGGUGUAAAACUUAAUUAAUUUUUAACUUGAGCCCUCAAAUUUAUAUAGUUUGUAUGAGUAUUGCAUAUAAAGUAUAUGUAUGUACAAAGAGAUUCCAAUAAAGGAUAAAAUUAUUUAAUAAGAGACGAUAUACUAUAAAUAAUUCAUGAAUAAUAUUGAACUACAUUAAUUGGGUUUUUUUCAGUUAGGUAUUUCUAUGUUGUUACGAUUUUUUUGGUCAAAAUAAAAAUUUUGUCCAAGUUUAUCAUAUUACUUGAAUGAGUACAAUUUUGUCAAUAUACUUUUAAAUUUGUUAAAAGAGAUCAAAAGUUACAAAAUGAACUAAAAUGUACAAUGAUAAAUAUUACACUCGUUAAAAAAAUAAAUAGUAAAUUUGAUCCAUCACCUUAAGUCUAGUGGUGAUAAAUUUAAACCUUAUCUCAAAUUAUUUUAUGAAGUUUGUUUGUGAAAUAUGGCAACAUAUACACAAAUUAAGUUAGUAACUAGCAUGUACAUAUUCUAUAAUCUUGUUGUCCAACUAAUUGGUUUAUAUAUAUGUUUUGUACUCUCUUUUUUUUUUUAUGAGAAACAGGAAUUAUAUUGUUAAGAACUUUUUUGGAGAUAACUUGCUUGAUUGUAUUUGUUAUACACAAAUUAAAAAUGUGGCAUUUGUCUAUGGAUGACAAGAUUGAGAAUUUUCUUCAGAGUCAAAACAAUUUAAUGCCUAUAAGAGACUCUUAUUCUGAAAUAAAAAGAAUAACAGAUGGCUUCAACAAUAAAUUAGGUCAAGGAGGAUAUGGCUCUAUAUUUAAAGGAAAACUUCGAAGUGAUCAACUUGUUGCAAUAAAAUUGUUAAACAAAUCAAAAGCUAACACCCAAGAUUUCACCAAUGAAGUUGCAACUAUUGGAAGGAUUCAUCAUGUUAAUGUGGUAAGACUUAUUGGAUUUUACGUGAAGGGAUCAAAACAAGCUCUUGUAUAUGACUUCAUGAAGAAUGGGUCCUUGGAUAAAAUUAUAUUUUCAACUGAAAAUAACACUUUGAGUUGAGAAAAAAUGUUUGAGAUUGCAUUGGGAGUGGCUCAAGGUAAUGACUAUUUACAUAAAGGCUGUGAAAUGCAAAUUUUUCACUUUGAUAUCAAGCCACAUAACAUUCUUCUAGAUGAGAAUUUUACUCCAAAAGUUUCAGAUUUUGGCCUCGCAAAUUUGUAUUCAGUGGAUGAUGAUAUUAUUUCUCUCACAGCAGCACGAGGUACGCUAGGAUAUAUGGCUUCUGAAUUGUUUUACAAAAAUAUCAGAGGUAUAUCAUAUAAAGCUGAUGUUUAUAGUUUUGGAAUGAUGAUAAUGGAAAUUAUCGGAAGGAGAAAAAAUUUGAAUGCCUCUGCUGAACAUUCAAGUCAAAUUUAUUUUUCAUCAUAGAUUUUUGAUCAAUUAGAUGAAGGAGAUACCAUGGAGCUUGGAGAUGUGACAGAAAUUGAAAACAAAAUUAUGAGGAAAAUGGUAAUAGUAACCUUAUGGUGCAUACAGAUGAAGCCCACAGAUCGUCCUUCAAUGAGCAAAGUCUUGAAGAUGCUUGAAAGUGAAGUUGAGCUCCUUGAAAUGCCUCCCAAGCCUUCUUUCUCCGGAAAUAUCAACUAAAGAUAGUAAAAAUUCUCCCUGCACACGUGGCAAUCGGCCUUCCUCAGCUACCU